This 116-nucleotide ribosomal RNA is filed under the name Fusobacterium varium. The record is from RNAcentral. Lineage: Bacteria; Fusobacteriati; Fusobacteriota; Fusobacteriia; Fusobacteriales; Fusobacteriaceae. RNAcentral also lists the same sequence under 2 other names.
UGGUAAGAAUAGCUGCGGGGGUACACCUGGUCCCAUUCCGAACCCAGAAGUUAAGCCCGUAAACGCUGAAAGUACUUGGAGGGAAGCCUCCUGGGAGGAUAGGAACUUGCCAAGCU